This 3463-nucleotide long non-coding RNA is filed under the name Homo sapiens (human). RNAcentral describes it as "HSALNT0383824". The record is from RNAcentral. Lineage: Eukaryota; Metazoa; Chordata; Mammalia; Primates; Hominidae.
GUGAAGAAGGGAAUGAGGGACGGAAAGAGAGAGACAGCGAAGAGAGGAGAAAGAGUUUCAGAAUUUGGCAAAAGUCUCAAGGCUCAAGCUGGUUGUCUGAAGCCUUUCAAACCCCCAGUUUUAUCACCACAUAUGAGGAACAUGAGAGCCACCUGGUGGAAGGUUUUAUUAGCAUGGAGGACGAGGGAGAGUUUGGCAGCUUGGCAGAGCUGCAGGUUGUGGAGAAGCAGCUGAGACAACAGCCCUGAGAGAGGAGAUCUGUGCUUCCCUGGAGCACAGGGCAGGUUGACACAUCAGCUGCGGAACAGUAUCUGGACCAGAAGCCUUUGCUCACUGUGAGAGACAGGCCGGGUCACUUACUUGCUCACCGCACAUGGGGGCUGAGUGGUGGCUGUUACAGAUCCAUGGAGGCCAGUGGUUGAGGCUCUGAAGGGGACAUGGCUGUCGCUGUGGGAGCAGGGAGCCAAGAAAACUGCUGAAGCAAGCAGCCUGCUUUCGGAGCCAAGCCCUGAGGGGCGGGUGUCGGGGCUUCCAUUCCAGGGUCAAGUGAGAAACCUUCAGCCAUCGGGGCGGGUGUCGGGGCUUCCAUUCCAGGGUCAAGUGAGAAACCUUCAGCCAUCGGGGCGGGUGUCGGGGCUUCCAUUCCAGGGUCAAGUGAGAAACCUUCAGCCACUUGGCAGAGACUCCACCAAUCCUGUGUUGAAGCCAGGCCCCAGCUGUGACAGCAAGGGGCCAAAGUCUUUUACCAAAAGGUAAAACAGGCUACCCAGAUGGGACGGGUGUGGCCAAGCAGUGCUACCACCUUGGGCAAGACCCUUCUCCUAGCUGGGAUUAGGUUUUCUCCUUUAAAAUUCCACCCCUCCAGCAAUCCUCAGUGAUGGCCUGUUGUUUUCCUAAUGCCAGUCCCAGGAAGCAAAGCUCAACAAAAUCACCUGUUGUCAGGGAUAGUGGAAGACGGAAAGAUAAAGCACUGGCUUCCACAAAGUCACAGAUGGUGGGUGGAGGUUCCCACAGAGAGUUCACGGGAAUCCCCAGGCCGUCCUCAGGGCUUUAGUUUACUCCCUCCCUAUAACUCAAGAAAAUACAGGGGUUUCCAAUAGAAAUUUAAACCUAGUAGCCUAGAAGUAUUCCUAAGGGACUGCAGAUUGAGUAAAAUGUAAAAUAUAAUAUACCCAACUUUUAUUAAUGUAAAAAUGUAUCAGUUGACCCAGUUAUCCCCUCUCUUUCCUAAGGAGUGCCUCCCCAGUUAGGCGGACACAAAGGGUUCCAUAUUAGAAACUUGAUUCACAUUCCCCUUUCCUUUCUCAGCCACUCACACAGAAGGAAAGGCUAAUUUUUAGGGCCCUGCCAGAGCCAAAUGUCACUUUGUAGUCCCUGGUCUGGGCCGCCCAGAGCAGGCUUCCCCCAGCUCCCUGGUCUGAGCAGAACUUUAGCAAGAGGGGAAACUAGGAGAAUCUAGUGAAUAUCUGAAAUUACAAUCUCUCAUAUAACCUAUAUAUAAUCAUUAGAAACACCAGCACAACUAUAAACCUUUCAAAUUAGCAAAAGGAAAACACAUACCCACAUGAACUACAAAAUAAUCCCAAUAGAAAAGAUAGAAAGGGGAAACAAACUGAAAUAAGAAACAUAUGAGUAUUAUUUAGGAGUAUUACUCCAAUAAAUGUAAAUGGAAUAAACUUAGUUAUUAAAAGAAAAGACUGCUGGACAAGAUGGAGUAAAUGCAUUUUUUGCUAUUCUUCUUGCUAAGUACACUUAAAAACCUUGGACAUUAUAUGAAAAACAAGCAAAAGAAGACACUGAAAGGUGGAGAAAAGAAGGCAGACUGGCUAGGGCCCUCAGGACCCAAGGAACCGCAUGGUGGUGUGUAACUUCCCUGCUCCAGCCAAAUGCCAUGAAAAAAAAACUGUGCCCUCAUUCCCGCUCCUCACAGCAAAGAAUGAGUGGGGAACCUAGACUUCCAUCAGUUGCAUGUCUUUUCCUCUCCUCACUGGGAUGGUUUCAGAGGAAGCUGGAUGGGGAACUGAGAAUUUCACCACCUUCAAGCAAUACUGAGCGCUCAUCCCACUCUGCAGUGUCAGUGGAAGCAAUGUGGGGAAGGGCAAUGAAGUGCUCCUACUAGCCAGGGUGGUGUCAGCAUGUCAGCAGAGGUCUCAGGGAGGCUGAGCUACCAUCUUCACCUAGCACUAAUGAUACACCCUUCUGCACCUGGGUGUCAACACUGGCAAAGUGAGGAAACUGGAUUUCCACCUUCACCAGGUACUAAUGAGGCAGCUCCUCCUCUCCUAUUCCUCACCAUCAUGGUGUCAAAAACGGCGUGAUAAAAUAGAAGACUUAGAUAAAUCCAGUCUCAUAAUAACCAAAAUGUUUAGGAUAUAAUACAAAGUUAGUUGUUAUACCAAGAAUCAGAAAAAUCUUAUAUUUUUAUAUUUUUUGGAGACAGAGUCUCACUCUGUCACCCAGGCUGGAGUGCAGUGGCAUGAUCUCUGCUCACUGCAACCUCGAUCUCCCAAGUUCAAGCGAUUCUCCUGUCUCAGCCUUCUGAGUAGCUGGGAUUACAGACGUACACUACCAUGCCUGGCUAACUUUUUGUAUUUUUAGUAGAGAUGGGGUUUCACUAUGUUGGCCAGGCUGUUCUCGAAUUCCUGACCUCAAGUGAUCCUCCUGCUUCGGCCUCCCAAAGUGCUGGGAUUACAGGCGUGAGCCACCGCACCCAGCCAGAACCAGGAAAAUAUUAACUUGAAUGAGAAAAGACAAUUAAUGAUGCCAAUAUCAAAAUGACACAGAUGUUGGAAUUAUUUGACAUUUUUUUAACUUUUUAUUUUAAAAUAAUUAUGGAUUCAUAGGAAGUUAGAAAAAAGAUAUAAAAUGAGGUCCUGUGCAACCUGCAACCCUGCACUCUCAUAUCCCUAGUGAUAGCAUUUUGCAUAACUGCAGUGUAAUAUCAAAACCAAAAAAUUAACAUUUGUACAACCCACAGUUUAUUUGGACUUCACCAAUUAUGCAUGAACCCAUUUGUGCAUGUGUGUCUGUGUGUGUGUGUAUGCAUAGUUCUAUGCAAUUUUAUCACACGCAUAGCUUUGGAUACCUACCACCACAGUCAACAGCCAAAGCUGUUCCUUUGGCCACACCUUUAUAGCCACACCUAUAAAGUGGGGCUGGUCACCAGAAAGACCAAGGCAUAUUUAGAGGUUGGAACCUUCCAACUUAUCCUGGCCUCUGAGGAAGGGAGAGGGGCUGGAUACUGAGUUAAACACCAGUGGCUCCUGACUUAAUCAUGUCUAUGUAAAAAAACUUUGAUGAAACUCUUAAAUGACAGGCUUUGGAGAGAUUCUAUGCCUGUGAACCCAUCAAGGUGCUGGGAGGGUGAAGUGCCUGAAGAGGCAUGGAAGUGCCCCUAUCCCUGUACCUCACCCCACGUAUCUCUUCAGUGUGGCUGUUCCAGAGUUGCAUCCUUCAUAAUAAA